This 4277-nucleotide long non-coding RNA is filed under the name Bemisia tabaci. RNAcentral describes it as "lncRNA ENSASIAIIG004045". The record is from RNAcentral. Lineage: Eukaryota; Metazoa; Arthropoda; Insecta; Hemiptera; Aleyrodidae.
AGGUCUUGUCCCUCCUGCAGACCCCUGAUACGUCGUGCCAUUCUCUAAAUACUGUGCAUCUUGUGAAUUUGUGUGACAUUCGAUUCAAACCUUUUGUUGCCAACGUGACGUGCUCUUUGUACAAUGACGUGUCCUAAGUACUACCUAAGGAGCGUGCAAUUGCCUUGUGUAAAGUACUCACCGAGUGCAAUGCACAAAACAAGUGGAUGUGGGAACAAAUUUGCCUGGAUGUCGUGGAUCUUAAUUACCACGCUGGUGCCGAUAUCGGUGAAGGUGAAGAGUGGAAUCUCCAUGCCUAGUUUAAUCGCGCUGGCAAUGCCUACUAUCAGGUCACUUUAGACCCACCAGAAACCUCAUGUCUUAACUCUCUGGGUAUGAAGGGACUCUUCACUAUACAACUGUACAAGAAUUCCUUGCCACUGCUCCAUUUAUUAAAGAAAAAACACUUAAGUAAAACGUGCUUACCUUAUGGACUCCAAUCAAUAAAAUGACGGCAGUAAUGGUCGCUAGAACACCGUUAAUAAAGUAGUCCAUUACCCACAAAAAGACCGCAAUUUUGGCACCUGAAAAGUAAAAAACAAGUUGGUGUCAACAACUCACGCGUCUGCGGAUUUCGAACACUGCAGUCCAGUUCAAUUCCUAGAACAUUUGGUAAUCCAAUUUAAAAUUCCAAUAGCCUGUGUCACACUAUCAAAAUUCACCAUCAAAAUGUCAAUGUCAAGUGCUAUGAUUGGUCCAAGUCAUCGAAUAAGGCAAUCACAACACCUGACCUUGAUAUUUUGAUGGCAAGCAUUGAUAGUGUGACACAGUCCACUGCAAGAUAAUUACAAAUGUCAGCUGCAUUUGGAUACUUCGCCGUUUCUCUCGCGAAAAAGCGUAACUCCAUUUCAAUGUUGCCCAAUUGGGCGUAUUUAUGCUAAAAGGAACUAAGUGCAUAGGUAUUGCGUGUGACAUAGUUCCUUUUAGCAUAGAUACAUCCAAUUCGCCCUCGUAAAUUUCUUAUGUAACGAGAAUCUUGGGCAUUCCUACCUGAAAAUUUCUCUGACUUUUCUCCAGAUUUUAUGCAAAAAUCAGAAAAGUUUAGGAUGCAAAUUGCACAUGUAUUUUUUUGUAAAAUAAAUCAAUUGUUUGAGUCAAUUUGACAAACUUGGAAUGGAGUUACGUUCUUUCGUCCAGGAGACGACGACUUAUAGUACGUCAGGAAAUAUCAUUUGAGGAGGAUUUUGAUGAAAAAAACCGCACAAUGAAUAUUUUAAUUUAUAUUAAAAAUAGUUAACUUAGACGAGUGAAUCUGUGGCUACAUCAAACAGUGACUGCAUACAGAGCUCUUGCGGUAUAUUCAUGAGUCCUCAAAAUAAAACACAGAUCAGGAGAAAGAGGAGAAUUUUUUCUAAAAAGUCUAGCAAGAAACAUAAUUUUUUUCUUCUAAUCGAAUGGCCUCGGUUUCAAGAGGUUAUACAUGUGCAAUUGGGCAUCUCCAAACAGAAAACGGCAGUUAAAUGUUUAAGGUAGACUCACUGAGGCUGCUGGUUGUAGCAAAAUUCAGUAGAGCAUCAGCGAUAGGCCAUUGAGCUAAAAGAUAAAUCCCUCCACAAACCUGUGUGAAACAAGAAAACAAACAAAAUUAGCAUAUAUCAUUUAAGUGAAUAAUGUACAAGUGCAUCAGCCUAGAAUUCAUAUUUACCCCUUUUUAACUGCUGCAGCGAAGACUAAAAAUAUACAGGGUGUCCGAAAGUUAACGUGCUUAACUUACAGGAUAAACUUUGCGGCUCAAAAUACGACUUUUUUCCCCGUACACAUGCCCAAGAACGCCUCAUAAAGGAGCCAUGCGUUACCAAAGUUGUCAUUUUUUCCUUUCAAGUUGAUAUAACUCCUCGUUAUUUUGUCGUAAGUAGCUGACAUUUUGUGUAUGGGGGUAUUUUUUAGCGUAUACUGCUAAUUUUUUGUGUUUUCAGAAAAAUGACUUGACGAGUAUUCCCGAAUUUUAAAAUUGCGAUAAAUUUUUUGGUAGAUGAUAUUUGGGAAAACGGAUUACGUGAAAGAGCGGAAAAAAUCAAGUGGAGCAGGCAUUGCACAACAUAUUCCAGAGAGGCGUCAUUUCGACGCAACAGAGCUUUGAAAAAGUUUCAGAUUUUUAAAGCUUCUUGCUGGGUGGGCAAGUUUUACUGUAAUAGGAGACUGUAGAAGGACUGUAAGGAAGCAUGGCGCAUAGCUCACCUAUGGAUCGAUUUUGGGCAUAUGUGUAUAGGGAGGUAAAGUCAUUUUGAGCCGAGAAAGCGAGCCUGAAAGUUAAGUACGUUAACUUCCAGACACCCUGUAUAAAAUGUACGCAGUUCGUAAAAACAUAUUAUCUAGGUGAAUCUUCAGCUGUAGUUCCGAAAAAUCCACCACGUCGCGCUGCUAGAAUCCGACUCUGAAAUCAGUGAUUAUUUAAAUAUCACAAUAGAUAUUUUAAAUUCUAAGACUCAUAAGUUCUAGCAGCAUACGUCUAGAAUCCUUAGAAAAAACGCAAGCUUUGAAAGUUUAAUAAUAAAAGCUAUAACUUGAUCCCAGUUUCUCUUACGGGAUAUCUGUAAGUGCGAGAGAGACAGCUCACGGCGGAAGAGAGAUAUCUGCAAGUGCCGAGAGCGAUCAAUCGCGAUCGGUUGCAUCAAGGUCAUCAUGCUCAACCCUACUUUUUUCUGGGAUCAAGUUUCAGAGCUUCAGAAAUUACUUUUCACGUCGUUUUUAGUGUCAAUAGGAAGAAGAAUGUCAUGCCUAGAACUUAUGACUCUUCGAUUUAAACAGAAAUUCCUUUAACUUUCAAAAAAGCUCAAGGACUCACGUGGAGCUGUACGGACUCAAAAAGUGUGGACCAAACGGAUUACAUGUUGCAAUAAGGAACCACUAUCUCUGGCUCUUUCAUAAAAACGCAUAUCCGCACAGGGAAACCAAUGGCACAUGUGUUGUUUCUAAAAUGAGCUAGAAAUAGUGGUUCCUUAUUGCAAAAUGUAAUCCAACAAUCAAGCGCCCCCUGCGCGGAGAAAUUUCUUACUUCACGGAGCUGUUGAUAAACCUUAAGGGUGAAACGAAAUUCGCCUCAAACACCCUCAGUCGAAAAAAAAAGAACAAAAUAAAACAUUCCGGAUUGGUCACUUUCAGGAUAAACAUGCACUGAAAAAAAAUCUCGGCGUAUUUACUAAGAAAAGGGUAAAAUUACCAAGAAUUCAGGGUUCUAUUUGAUCCCAGUUUUUUCUUGGUAAAAUUACCAUUUACGGAAUUGGUAAUUUUACCGAGAAAUCUCGGUAAAAUUAUUGAACUUUCUCGGUAAUUUUACUGGACCCCGGUAAAAACGCCAAUAUUUUUUAUGGACUGUGGUAAAAUUACCGAGAUAAAACGGCAAAGUUACCGGGAAUAGAUUGCCAAUAAAAGUGGUAUUCUUACCUGGAAAAAACAGUAAAAAUACCGGUUUUUAGGUAAGCUUACCAGUCUGUCUUGGUAAAAUUACCAAUAAUUUGUAAAAAAAGUGAGACGGUAAAGGUACCAACGGACCUUCGUAAAAACGCCGAGAAUUUUUUUUCAGUGUGUCAUGGUGUUGUUUUUGUUACAUUUUACGAGUUAUUUUUUAUACAAAUGCCUUAAUUUACAUUAAAUUGUUUUCGUUUUGGAGGCACUAAGGCUGCAUUAUACUUCUCAACCCUCAAGAGUGCUCGGAUCGAUUUGCCCCAAACUUCAAAUCAAGAAUUAUUUGGAACGAGAGAGAAAUCCAUUCGAAAUUGUUGCGGGUUGCAUAUUUGGCUCCUGCUAACUAUCAGAACUUGAACCCGAACACUUAAGGACCUUCAAAAUCGUAAAUCGUGAGGGUCGCAAUCAGCCAAACCGAAUGUAUUUGUGUAUUUUUGUCCGCCGGAAAUGACUAACGGCUGUAUUCAUAGCAGAGGCUUGGCGUGUUUAGCGAUACAUCGAUUGAUCCGCCAUUUAAACAUACGGAAGAGAAUCGAUAGGUAGCGUGUUCGCAACGAACACCUUAAUAAUCGAUUCUUCACCAUAGCUUCAAACGGGGGAAAUAUCGAUGAUCGAUCAUUUCGCAAACGACGAGUAAAAUUCAGCAGUGAAACUUUGUAAAUGGGUCCUUGAAGAGUAUUACCAUGGUUUACCACUAAAAAUACUUACAAACACAAAUCAUAGAGCUUCCUCUUCUCUAUAUUGUACUAAGUAAGUAAGUAAGUAAGUAAGUAAGUAAGUAAGUAAGUAAGUAAGUAAGUAAGUAAGUAAGUAAGUAAGUAAGUAAGUAAGUA